CAGUAGCCACGGUAAUACGUAGGGUGCAAGCGUUAAUCGGAAUUACUGGGCGUAAAGCGUGCGCAGGCGGUUAUAUAAGACAGAUGUGAAAUCCCCGGGCUCAACCUGGGAACUGCAUUUGUGACUGUAUAGCUAGAGUACGGCAGAGGGGGAUGGAAUUCCGCGUGUAGCAGUGAAAUGCGUAGAUAUGCGGAGGAACACCGAUGGCGAAGGCAAUCCCCUGGGCCUGUACUGACGCUCAUGCACGAAAGCGUGGGGAGAAAACAGGAUUAGAUACCCCGGUAGUCCCUGUCUCUUAUAC
RNAcentral lists this ribosomal RNA (301 nucleotides) under uncultured bacterium. RNAcentral's name for it is "partial 16S ribosomal RNA". It matches the Rfam family "Bacterial small subunit ribosomal RNA", at positions 509 to 807 of the family's 1533-position model. The record is from RNAcentral.